UGGAAAGGUCCGCCAGAGCAGGUAAAAGCCCUGUAGUCGAAAGUUCGUUCUCUCCUGAGUGGAUCCUGAGUACGGCGGAACACGUGAAAUUCCGUCGGAAUCCGGGAGGACCAUCUCCCAAGGCUAAAUACUACCUAGUGACCGAUAGUGAACCAGUACCGUGAGGGAAAGGUGAAAAGCACCCCGGAAGGGGAGGGAAAGAGAUCCUGAAACCGUGUGCCUACAAGUAGUUAGAGCCCGAUAAUGGGUGAUAGCGUGCCUUUUGUAGAAUGAACCGGCGAGUUACGAUUACGUGCGAGGUUAAGC
Molecule: ribosomal RNA, 306 nt
Filed under: Lysinibacillus xylanilyticus
Lineage: Bacteria; Bacillati; Bacillota; Bacilli; Caryophanales; Bacillaceae
Description: bacterial LSU rRNA
Rfam family: Bacterial large subunit ribosomal RNA
Source: RNAcentral